This is a long non-coding RNA of Ictalurus furcatus (blue catfish), 2043 nucleotides long. RefSeq lists it as uncharacterized. The record is from RefSeq and is a predicted model, not a curated record. Lineage: Eukaryota; Metazoa; Chordata; Actinopteri; Siluriformes; Ictaluridae. The transcript is spliced from 3 exons.
GGUAGGAGGGCGUCCUCAGCAGUGGGGUAGGAGGGCGUCCUCAGCAGAGGGGUAGGAGGGCGUCCUCAGCAGAGGGGUAGGAGGGCGUCCUCAGCAGUGGGGUAGGAGGGCGUCCUCAGCAGAGGGGUAGGAGGGCGUCCUCAGCAGAGGGGUAGGAAGCAUUUAUUUUUAUUUUAGUGAAGGUCAGUUAAUUACCACAGUGGAUGUGGUCAGCAUGAAACAGUUAAACUUUAAAGACCUGAAGUGUAGACUUUAAUUAUUUAAAAUUUACACAUACUGUCCUGGUUUACAGUCUUGUGGGGUUAAUUGCAUUAUUAUUUUUAUACUGUAACAGUGAUCAAAAAUAAAUGGAGCAAAGAUUUAUCCUCUCACACUCUGUGAUGAAGUCUGGUGAACCUCACUGGAGCUGACAGAGAUGAUGACCAAGUGGACUCCUCCAAGUGGAAGUGAAAGAGACAGUAAAAUAUUUAAUGGACAUGAGGUUUUCUAUUAGAACUCUAAAAGAACACAAGAAGAGUGACCUAGAACAGAUUAUAGCAACACUGCCACCUAGUGUUCACUGCAUCAAAUUGACCCAGCAAUCUCCACACGCAUUUUCAUCACUACUAGACAAUGUUGUUGGCAUUAAGGGAACGUUCCUCUCCUGCGUCAGGUCUUAUUUGACCGAUUGCUAUCAGUUCAUAGAUGUAAAUGGAUACUUCUCUAUGCAUACUGAGCGAAGCCAGAGGACAGACAGCAGCUUAAAAAAGUUGAGGAAUGUCUAAAGGACAUUUGACGUUGGAUGCUUAUUAACUUCCUCUUACUUAAUUCUGAUAAGACAGAAGUACUUCACCUAGGACCACAUGCAGCUAGAAGUAUCUUUCUGAUUACACAGUAACUCUGGAUGGACUUUUUGUUUCAUCUUCUGUAGCAGUAAAAGAUCUUGUUGUGAUGAUUGACUCUAGUCUAUCAUUUGAUGCUCUUGUAGAUAAUAUUACUAGGAUAACCUUCUUUCAUCUCAGAAGUAUUUCUAAGUUAAGAAAUAUAAUGUCACUACACGAUGCAGACAUAUUAGUUCAUGCUUUCAUCACCUCUAGACUAGAUUAUUAUAAUGCCUUACUGUCUGGAUGUUCUAGUAGGAGCCUAAACAAGCUCCAGUUAGUCCAGAAUGCAGCCGCAAGAGUCUUUACUAGAACCAGAAGAUACGACCAUAUCACCUCCGAUCUUAUCAACACUGCAUUGGCUCCCAGUGGGACUCAGACACAGUCUCAGUGUUUAAGUCCAGGCUGAAAAUCUAUUUGUUUAGUCAAAACUUUUGUGAAUAGUUUUUUUUCUUAUGUAAAGGAGCAGAUCUAAAGGCUCACAGGUAUAGAGUGUUGUGGUGAACUGGGACACGUUCACUCAGGUUUGCUUAUGGUGGAGCGGCUGGUCGUUUUAUCUCCAGGGAGACCUCAUGUCUGUGUUCCCUUCUGGUUCUCCCUUUUAGUUAUGCUGUCACAGAUAGUCUUGCUUGAUACCCCACUUCUGCUUGGAGCCUCCAAUACCUGAGAAUCACUUCUGCUGAGUGUGGCUCCACAUGGACAGCCUAAAGAUCAUUAUAAGACUGAUGUGGAUGGCACCACACAGGCACCCUAAAGAUGAUUGUGGAUGUUCUCACUUGGAAAGCCUAAGGAUUGCGCUUGCUAAAAAUGAAAUGCACAAAUCUCAUUCAUUAUACAGUGGAAAAUUUCACCUGGAUCUUAUAGACUUAAAGCUAAAACUCUACUGAAAGCAAAAAUUAUCAUACUGAAGAUCUUCUGAAAAUGUUCUGAAAAUGCUGAAAAUACUGAAAAUGUUCAUAAUGAAGAUCUUUCCAAUGCACUUAGCACUACAAACUACAAACUGCAGUUCCACAAUGCAUGUGUGUGUGUGUGUGUGUGUGUGUGUGUGUGUAUGUGUUUAUACCAAUGUGUAAUGAAUAAUAUAUAACACAUAAACAUUGAUGUAAUAGAAAUAAAGCUAGUGGGUGUGGCCAGGACUGCUGCCAGCUAAUCAGAACACACUGUUAGUUAUACUUACAUUAAA